Molecule: long non-coding RNA, 329 nt
Organism: Rhinolophus ferrumequinum (greater horseshoe bat)
Lineage: Eukaryota; Metazoa; Chordata; Mammalia; Chiroptera; Rhinolophidae
Exons: 3
Source: RefSeq, a predicted model, not a curated record
UUGAAAUGCAGGUCAGGGUAGACUGCGAAGCAACUGCUGGCAAUAAUACCAACCCUUAGCCAGGACGAGGUUCUGGUUCAGCUCUGAGGGCAGAGAACUGGUGGAGCCAAAGACAAGCUUCCCAGGUCAGAGAAGAUGGCAACCCGAAGAAAGCCCCAGCUCCUUGUGCGCCUGACACUGUUCAGUGUGCUCUUCUCACAAAUGCUGGCUUGGCCUCUUUUCGAAGCACCUUUUCUGAACAUACCAUCUGAAGGAGCAAAUGAGCUUGAUCCAGCUUUACUACCACUAAACCCUGACGUCUCGCCUAAUGCAUUUGCUGAAAAUGACAG